Quercus robur (English oak) is the source of this 288-nucleotide long non-coding RNA. RefSeq lists it as uncharacterized. The record is from RefSeq and is a predicted model, not a curated record. Lineage: Eukaryota; Viridiplantae; Streptophyta; Magnoliopsida; Fagales; Fagaceae. The transcript has 3 exons.
UGAAAGUUAGAGUUUUACGAAUGUGGGAUGCAAUUAAUAUAGCAAACAACAAUGAUCUGAUUAGCCUCGAUAUGAUAUUGGUUGACAAAGAGAUGUGAUUGGCAUAUUGGACUACAUUGGAGCCAUUGAGGAGAUCAAAACAAGAGGGCGUCCAACAAAGAUAAGAAACAUUCAACUGUUGUUAGAAGAGAACAAAUCUGUUCAAACAACUUUAUGGGGAAAUACUGCACAACAAAUAGAUGAUGAUUUCUACAAAACAAAUAAAGGGCCAUUCAUAGUAAUAGUGAC